AAUGAACGCUGGCGGCGUGCUUAACACAUGCAAGUCGAGCGAGGCCUGGGGGGCAACUCCCAGAGUCGAGCGGCGGACGGGUGAGUAACACGUGGGUAACCUGCCCGGAAGUGGGGAAUACCUCGGGGAAACUCGAGCUAAUACCGCAUGACAUCUUUGGGACGAAAGUCCUGACGAUCAAAGCGGGGUCGCAAGAUCUCGCGCUACCGGAUGGGCCCGCGCCCGAUUAGCUAGUUGGGAGGUAACGGCUCACCAAGGCUUCGAUCGGUAACCGGCCUGAGAGGGCGAUCGGUCACACCGGAACUGAGACACGGUCCGGACUCCUACGGGAGGCAGCAGUGGGGAAUCUUGCGCAAUGGGCGAAAGCCUGACGCAGCAACGCCGCGUGGAGGAUGAA
RNAcentral lists this ribosomal RNA (397 nucleotides) under uncultured bacterium. Its description in RNAcentral is "bacterial SSU rRNA". It matches the Rfam family "Bacterial small subunit ribosomal RNA", at positions 29 to 412 of the family's 1533-position model. The record is from RNAcentral.